GAUGAACGCUGGCGGCGUGCCUAACACAUGCAAGUCGAGCGAAAAGUAAAGAGAUGAAGCUUCGGUAGAUUUUCAUUAUGGAAAGCGGCGGACGGGUGAGUAACGCGUAGGCAACCUGCCCUGUACAGGGGGAUAGCCACCCGAAAAGGUGAUUAAUACCCCAUAAAGCAAGAGAUACACAUGUAUCACUUGUCAAAGAUUUAUCGGUAUGGGAUGGGCCUGCGUCUGAUUAGCUAGUUGGUAGGGUAACGGCUUACCAAGGCAACGAUCAGUAGCCGACCUGAGAGGGUGAUCGGCCACAUUGGAACUGAGACACGGUCCAAACUCCUACGGGAGGCAGCAGUGGGGAAUAUUGCACAAUGGGGGAAACCCUGAUGCAGCAACGCCGCGUGAAGGAAGAAGGCCUUCGGGUUGUAAACUUCUGUCCUAGGGGAAGAA
This 438-nucleotide ribosomal RNA is filed under the name [Eubacterium] infirmum. RNAcentral's name for it is "bacterial SSU rRNA". It matches the Rfam family "Bacterial small subunit ribosomal RNA", at positions 28 to 449 of the family's 1533-position model. Lineage: Bacteria; Bacillati; Bacillota; Clostridia; Peptostreptococcales; Anaerovoracaceae. The record is from RNAcentral.